CAGAGUGUGGCUAAAAAGCAAAGCGUCUCCCUUACACUGAGAAGUCAUCCGUGCAAAUCGGAUCACCCUGA
Molecule: transfer RNA, 71 nt
Filed under: Nematistius pectoralis (roosterfish)
Lineage: Eukaryota; Metazoa; Chordata; Actinopteri; Carangiformes; Nematistiidae
Description: tRNA-Val
Rfam family: tRNA
About the family: Transfer RNA (tRNA) molecules are approximately 80 nucleotides in length. Their secondary structure includes four short double-helical elements and three loops (D, anti-codon, and T loops).
Source: RNAcentral